AAACGGCUGGGUGGGAAGCAGGCUAGCAGGGGCCUCUGGCCUUGCUGAGGGUCCCUGUUUCCCGCUUUCCUUCCUUUUCACCCAGUAAAACCCUGCUUUACUCACCCUUCAAACCAUCUAUGAGCCUAAAUUGUCAUGGUCGUGGAACGGACAAGGACCCAGUCUUCAGCUGAACUAAGGGAAAGUCCCGCUUUUUGGCGCGCAACAGGGGAGCUCAAGAAACAGGCCUCACUCACGACAAAGGGAAGUAACCACGCCCCUAAGAAGGCACACCUUUGUUGCAGUUAGUACACAAUUAAAGCAACUCUCCAAGUUUUACCUUAAAGUUCAAAAUUGCUAGGGGUUGAAACUACUAGAAAUGUCUUUACAUGCAAGCCUUUAAUAAUUAAGUAAGGUAUACUCCUGUGAUCAAGACUUUGAGCAUAUUUGUUUCUCUCUGCCUGGUUCCUCUAGAAAUUGGAAACUAUCAUUGUCAGCAUAACCUCAUUCUUCUUGGACACAGGACAAGAAUUCAGGACGCACCGAAUGCAGGAACACAGACAAACUCCAUUUCCCAAUCCCUUUGCAAUCUGCAUUGAACCAUGAAUCAAGUUCUUGAUAAAGGAGUGAAAAUGAUAAGUCUAAAGCAAUGAAAAACUUCUGUAUUGACUGCACAUGCCUUCGUUUCUUCUACCCUGCUUCUUUCAUGCCUGCUUAUCUGAAUGACACCAGGAUGACAUUUAAGGCACAUCUGAAGAUGGGGAAACCACAGCACAGAAAAAGGCUGGGCCCUUGAAUCAAUAAAUGAGGGAGAACUACUCAAGAGAACAAAACCACCAGCAA
Molecule: long non-coding RNA, 822 nt
Filed under: Pongo abelii (Sumatran orangutan)
Lineage: Eukaryota; Metazoa; Chordata; Mammalia; Primates; Hominidae
Description: lincRNA
Source: RNAcentral